This 506-nucleotide ribosomal RNA is filed under the name uncultured bacterium. RNAcentral's name for it is "partial 16S ribosomal RNA". It matches the Rfam family "Bacterial small subunit ribosomal RNA", at positions 29 to 523 of the family's 1533-position model. The record is from RNAcentral.
AGUGAACGCUGGCGGUAGGCCUAACACAUGCAAGUCGAACGGCAGCACAGGAGAGCUUGCUCUCUGGGUGGCGAGUGGCGGGCGGGUGAGGAAUACAUCGGAAUCUACUCUGUCGUGGGGGAUAACGUAGGGAAACUUACGCUAAUACCGCAUACGACCUACGGGUGAAAGCAGGGGAUCUUCGGACCUUGCGCGAUUGAAUGAGCCGAUGUCGGAUUAGCUAGUUGGCGGGGAAAAGGCCCACCAAGGCGACGAUCCGUAGCUGGUCUGAGAGGAAGGUCAGCCACACUGGAGCUGAGACACGGUCCAGACUCCUACGGGAGGCAGCAGUGGGGAAUAUUGGACAAUGGGCGCAAGCCUGAUCCAGCCAUACCGCGUGGGUGAAGAAGGCCUUCGGGUUGUAAAGCCCUUUUGUUGGGAAAGAAAUCCAGCUGGUUAAUACCCGGUUGGGAUGACGGUACCCAAAGAAUAAGCACCGGCUAACUUCGUGCCAGCCGCCGCCGUAA